RNAcentral lists this transfer RNA (72 nucleotides) under archaeon. RNAcentral's name for it is "tRNA-Arg". It matches the Rfam family "tRNA". Rfam says of the family: Transfer RNA (tRNA) molecules are approximately 80 nucleotides in length. Their secondary structure includes four short double-helical elements and three loops (D, anti-codon, and T loops). The record is from RNAcentral.
GGGCUUGUAGUAUAGUGGAUAGUACGGCCGGCUUCGGACCGGCUAACCGGGGUUCGAAUCCCUGCAAGCCCA